Molecule: transfer RNA, 72 nt
Filed under: Camelus bactrianus (Bactrian camel)
Lineage: Eukaryota; Metazoa; Chordata; Mammalia; Artiodactyla; Camelidae
Also listed under: 2 other names
Rfam family: tRNA
About the family: Transfer RNA (tRNA) molecules are approximately 80 nucleotides in length.
Source: Rfam by way of RNAcentral
GAGGAUAUAGCUCAGUGGUGGAGCACAUGCUUAGCAUGCACAAGGUCCUGGGUUCAAUCUCUAGUACCUCCA